Molecule: long non-coding RNA, 873 nt
Filed under: Homo sapiens (human)
Lineage: Eukaryota; Metazoa; Chordata; Mammalia; Primates; Hominidae
Description: HSALNT0132527
Source: RNAcentral
GCGCGGUCUGCCUCCCGCGGCGGGCCGGGUCUCCAGGGAGGACCUGAGUUUUCUUCACCCAUGGUCAGGGAAGCGCCAUCGCCCUGGCUUUGAGGCUGGGGCCUCCGGGGAGGUUCCGGUAGGGGCUUUGAAGAGGCCGCUGUUUUUGCAAGGCCGAGACGGCGGGCCCUGCGCAGGCCGCCCUAUUCCGCGCCCUCAGGGCGUCAGUAUCCGCCUGAGGCCGGAUACCCCCUCUGGGCCCGGAUGCCCCCGCUGGCCCCGGAGCAUCCUCGGCGCUGCCCUCCCAGAGCCCCGCAGAGGCUGAGGUGGCGCGGGGGCGGCCCCGGCUCCGCGAGAAGCGGCGGCAGCGAGGGCUGGAGGACCCGGGCUACGGGGCUCCGGGGCGUCUGGCCUGGUUGGGACUGAGCCCAUCCAGGGACUGGGACUCUGGGAUUCUGGUGUAGGUGGAUCCGGGGCAGGCUCAGGACCAAGUCCCUCUCCUUCCACCAAGGAGCGCCCAGAGGCCGGCGGGAGCUCCAGGUUCACCUCCUCCUCCUCCAGGAAAUCUCACUUCCAACUGGAUGUCUGGAUGAACUACUGAAAGCUGCUGAGUGUCCUGCAGCAGCUUGACUACCACACAAAUGAAUCCACUCAAAUGUUGGCAAGUGGAGCAGAGUCCCAGGACAGAUCACAUUCUUAACCUCUAGAGAGCCUGGCAGGACCAGAGCCUUACCUUUCCCAGUCUGCAAUCUCUACAGGUACAGAAACACCCCCAGUUCAAGGAUCUUCACACCUGGAUUUAGGCCUACUCCUGCAACUACCCCAGAACCUGGAAUUUAUAUGUUCAACAUGGAGCCAUCCCAGCCAUGACAACAGAGAAUGUACCACUCUCAC